RNAcentral lists this transfer RNA (97 nucleotides) under Couchioplanes azureus. RNAcentral's name for it is "Couchioplanes caeruleus subsp. azureus tRNA-Pro". The record is from RNAcentral. Lineage: Bacteria; Bacillati; Actinomycetota; Actinomycetes; Micromonosporales; Micromonosporaceae.
GGUGGCCGGCGGCGCCGCGGACCGGCGCGGGGAGAGCUCGGAACUCGCCGCGGCCGAGGUCCCCACCGCCUGACGGGUCACAACCGGCCGGCCGCCU